GUGUGUGGCCAAGCCAUCGUCGGAUCAAGCAACUUUACUAGCGAAUAUCAAUUACGCAUGCUCUCACGGGGAUUGCCAGAUUCUACAAAAGGGUUACCCUUGCUUUUCUCCAGAUAGUCUCAUAAGCCAUGCAUCAAUAGCCAUGAAUCUGUACUACCAAUGUAAGGGAAGGAACCACUGGAAUUGUGAUUUCAGGGACUCUGGCCUCAUUGUCAAGACUGAUCCAAGCUAUAGCAACUGCAUCUAUGCCUAAGCCUUGGUCCAGGAAGUAAUUCCUGGCAAUUUGUCUGCUGGAAAUAUAUUGCUGCAAGGAAGCAGAAGAGUUGGUCUGACAUACAUUCUUGCCUAAUUUUGUCAGGCCUCAUUUAAUUGCUGAUCUCCCGAUAAAGGAUCCAAAAUUGAAUUGCAAGCUCCCAGCAAACUUACACCUCAAAAGCCCAAAACAUAAACUAUGAUAGAAGUGCGCGAGAGUGUGGGAAUUCGGAUGUAAAGUAGCAACCAGCAAGUGUUGUUUGAUUCAGGAUCAGAACUCAGAAGAACCACCAGGUUAGGUCCUCCUAUACAUCUAUUUCGUAAUCCGAAUCUAACUACUUUUGUGAAGACAAGUUAGAGGCCUUGAUGUGCCUUGAAAAAUUCAGCUUAAGAUUAAGAAAAGGCUAAAACUGCUUAGUAUUUUAUUGUAGAUUGAAACAGUGAGUUUUAUUUUUUAUUUUUAUGUUCUUCAAGAUUUUUUUGUAUAAUUUUUGGUAAUUAAUUUUUUUUUUAAUUUUAUUCUUAAAUAUUAUGUUUAGUGAUAUUUGAAAAAAAAAAUUGUUUCAAUUAACUUAGGAUUUCUUGUGUGGUCUCUAUUGUUUCACAAUUUGGUAGAAUAAAGUUUGAUUUUAUUGUUUAAAAAUAAUUUAAUCUUUAGGGACCAACUCUAAAGACAAAAGCAAGUUUUUUUUUUCUAUACAAGAAGAACUGGUUUUAACCUGCCGAAUACUCUAUAAAAAAAAAAAAACACUUUCAACCUGCCGAAUACUCUAUUUGUUUCUUAAGGCUGUUAGUUAUAUGGCAAAUUGAGCAAUAUUUUCUAUCUGGGUAUUUUAAGUGGAUAGCAAAAGAUUGUUUCGUUUUAGCUUUCUUGGGUUCUUGCUAUUAAGAAUGAUGUAAAUGACUUGCCGUAAUCUUGAUUUUGGAAGGGCUAAACUUCAUUUGGUGGCUUGUGGCUGCUCCUCCAGUGAUUCAAUAGAUAGGGAUUCGGUGAGGAAUUAUGCAAAGUCAGUUUCUAAGAGUUGUAACAGGGAUUAUGGUUCCAGGAGAAUGGUUUGUUGCCGGCGAGAUAUUGCUAGGUGUCGAGUUUCUUCAACAAAGACCCCUGAGACUUUACUUGCUAGUACAUGUUUUUUUGCACUCUUUUUUUUUAAUUUGGAUUUUAUGUUUUGCUUCCUGUUUUUGAUAUUCAUGUUUUUUCCUUUCGUAUUUAUGUUUAAAAUUGGUUUUAGGAAAUCUUAGAGUAUUAGUUUCGUGUCUUAUUGAUGCUGAAUGUAUUUGUAUUCGACGGAACAAUCUGAAUUUGUUGGAUUACAGUUAAGUGUCUGUAUCCAACAGAAAUAACAAUCAGUAACUUCUUACUAAUACUGAUCGAAUCUGCUUUAGAGUAGCACAGGCCGUUGCCAUUCAUUAACCAUUUCUUUGUUGACCACAGUUUAGUGCUUUCCUAAUUCAUUAUGAUUCUGGUGAUUCUGUUUACUUAACAUAACAUUUAAGUGCUUGGUCUCCAUCAAUAAAGCACCUGCCAUUGAUUUAAUAUGUUGUAAUGCUUGAAAUGUUGGUAUUUUUGUUCAUUUUUGGCUUGAUACAGGGGUUGCUGAAGGUCCCACAGUACUUCUGAAUUUGAAGAAAGAGUCAAGAGAACCAGUUUCAUUUACAAAUUUGUUCGAAGUGGUUGCUGCUGAUCUUUAGACUCUUAAGCAAAAUCUCCGGUCGAUUGUUGCUGCAGAAAAUGCGGUUUUGAUGUCUGCAGCUGAGCAGAAAUUUGGUGCUGGUGGGAAGAGAAUGUGACCAGCUCUGGUCUUUCUAGUGUCAAGAGCCACAGCAGAAGUAGUCGGGUUGAAGGAACUUACAACUGAAAAUCGGCGCUUAGCAGAGAUUAUUGAGAUGAUCCACACUGCAAGUUUAAUACAUGACGAUGUAUUGGAUGAAAGUGACAUGUGAAGAGAGUUUUGCAGAACCAGUCCGAGGCUGAAGAGAGAAGGGUUCUAAUAGAUGGAUGACCAACAGGCUCGCAUAUUAGUUAGACCUUGUCAACCUAGCUGUGAGAUGAAAUUAUGAUUUUUUGAAGCCAAC
Molecule: long non-coding RNA, 2328 nt
Organism: Populus nigra (black poplar)
Lineage: Eukaryota; Viridiplantae; Streptophyta; Magnoliopsida; Malpighiales; Salicaceae
Exons: 5
Source: RefSeq, a predicted model, not a curated record